Molecule: long non-coding RNA, 972 nt
Filed under: Cottoperca gobio
Lineage: Eukaryota; Metazoa; Chordata; Actinopteri; Perciformes; Bovichtidae
Description: lncRNA (ENSCGOG00000003145.1)
Source: RNAcentral
CCUGGCGUGUCUCUCUAUGACGUGUUUGAACAUUUGCAUUCAAAUCGAUGUCUUUCUGUUUUGCAUAUUUCAGACAAUUCAACACAAAUGUAUUAUGUCAAACUGAUAAUAGAGGAAAGUGCAAUCGCAAACAUAACUGAGACACUGAGCGAGACCUUUGUGAGCAACACACACCUGAAGGUCGACAACCUUCAAACGACAACGACGUGUCAGAGCGUCCCGGACGGCGCCGAGUGCAGCUGCACGCCGGGCUUCAGGUGGAGCGAGACGGUCUGUCAGGAGAACACGUGCACCUUCCCCGGCAACAACACACACACCUGUGUUUCUAACACCACAGUCUCUAUAAAUGGAUCCCUUUUUCUGAACGGGGGGGGGCAUCACAACUGUCUGAAACUAAAAGACUCAAACAAAUUCCAGGAGUGUAACAACAAACUGUUAAAACAGAUGAGAACCGUGUACAGCACUUUGCCAGGAUUUAACACCCUAACGAUUAUAAAAUACAGGGUCGGAAGCGUCAUCGCUGACUUUGAAUUGAACUUUGUUCAAAGCAUCAACCAGCAAGAUUUGAUAAAAAGAUCAGAGAAUCUGAGCAGCAGUCUGUCAGCGUCACUGUCUCUGGAGACUACAGGUGUUGUCCAGUUAAGCCUUCUGUCUCAAAGCCCUGUGUGCAACGAGAAGCACACCCUCAAGUGCACGUUACGGGAGACCCUGAACGCACCACCAGUGUGGCAGCUGAGAAGUAACAACAGAGUAAUAGAGAUAUAUAACGGCACAGAGGCGAUAGUGGUAACUGAACCACAGGAGACCAGGGUCACACUCACAGUCCUUUCUAAACUCUGGGAAGGUUUGUUUCACACUUUAUUCUCAGAGUCAACACGUACACGUACAGUAAGUACUUUACUUACACUACAAAAACAAAAGAUGAGUGAACAAAGCCCUCUGCACAAAGCUUCAGAAUAUAGAGAGGAAUGA